UGUAAUCUGCUCACGACGGCGGCGGUGGCGGUGAUUUCAGAUCAACGGAAUCGCGUUCUCGCUGGACUCUUCGCAAGUCCACGGCCAGUCUUCGCAGCCCUCUGAAGCGUUACGGACGCGUUGAGAAGUCGGAAGUGGUCAUUGCGUGCGUUUAGUGGUUUGGCCAGAUUUUUCCUAACUAAAUUUAUGUUGGUCAGAUGAUGGGUUUGGCCUUUUUUGGGUUUUUGAGGGAUAUGGUGAAGUGAUUGAGGGCGACGUCGAGUUACCCAGUCGAGCCAACCUCAUUUGUCUAGGGCAAAGUGGUCGGAGUGUAUUCUGUGGCAAGUGUGAGGAUAUAUUCCCGGAAGUGCGAGAGCUCAUCGGAGCUCCGGAAGACGCCUUUUGGCGAGGUUGAGGUUGAGGGUGGCAAGGGCGCAAGGAUGGACGGGAGGAAAACUUUUGCGUUAUCCUUAAACACGAACUCGCCGACCGUACCGGAAUCAAUCGGCAGCUGAACGUCGUGAAGGUCGUACACGCGUGGCUUCGUCCUCUCCGUGCGUAAGUUUCGGUUUGUUCGGGAAGUCCUUGCCCAGGAAAGAACUCGGCGAGGAGCAGUAGUGGAGUGGUGUUUGAACUUCGCCACCGGAAUCCUGUUCUAGUUGGGGGAUUGAACGCCCCUUACGUGAGUGCGUGCUUCGAGGAGUGGCGCCCAGUUGUUGCUGCUGAUGAUUUCCGAUUCGUAUUCGUAUUUGAAGGGCGGUUGGGUGUCAGCAAAGUGUGUUUCUUCUCUCUCAUUUGGGGGUGUUUAAUUAUGUAUCUUGUGGUCUGCAAUGGACGGCGGUGGGAUUUCGUCGAACCAUUAAGCUAGAAGAAUAUGAAGAAAAAGUGCCAAAGUGCUGAUAAUUUCGUGAAUUGAUUCCAAGGCCCUAAGGCUUCGAGUUGGGACAGAUGGAAGUACGAUUCCAAUCUCACCAAUGAAAGAAAACUGUUAAUAAAUUAGAGGUAGCCGUUGGGGAGGAAGUAAUCAGCACAAUCAACUAGUUUCAAGUGAUGGGAAAAAAUCCGAGGAAACCAAAGGAAAAGUUUUUAAUUAGCAAUUAAAAAGACUCCACCCAGGAGUGCAAGUUGGACGGUAGACAGAGGAAAAAAAAUCGAAACUCUGAUUCCGAUCGAGAAAAGUCCCCGUGUCGGCGUUCACCGGUGAAGAAUAAAUCACAUAUACUCAACGGCGUCAGAAAAGCGGGUGACACAUCGCAGAGGAAAAUUAUCGUUGAAGAUUUUCGGCCGUAAAAAUCCUAGAACUCCGAGUGUGAAUAACUUAUCGUAACCCUUCUGGGAAAGACGUUCAACAAAAACCGAGACUUAUCGUGACCAACCGCCACUAAUUGGCCCGAAUUGGAGGCCAGAUUUGAGUUAAUGAAAACGAACCUACGGUGGUUAAGUGCGCCAGCAGCAAAAUAAGAAAAAGUUCGCGUCGGAAAUUGAACCAAAGCAGAAGUUAAUUACAUCGUUUCCACCAGAGCCAGAACUCCAAGAACCGGGUCGUGUAUAAAGCAAAAAAAAAAACGUUAUAAUCAAAAGAAAAUAUCAUCGUCGGGGCUGCUGUUCUUGUUUUUCCUGAUAGCUGCCACCCCUCCCCCAAACACUCAAAGGAAACAAAAUGAGGAAAAUGAUCAAACACGUGCUUUCCCAGCGGGCAAAAAUGAAAUAAACGCGUAAAUAAAACACAAACCUCUCAAUAAAGGCAAAAAAAAUCGAUCCAUUGGAUGCGUACCACUCAAAACGGCGCGGUGCGAUAUCUUCAGGCGGCAAAAAUAACGGACGGUGUAGACAAACCGACAAUCGAGAAGCGCCGCCACCGUCGGCAAAAUAAAUAGAAUCACAAGGAAAAGUUGUUUGUGAGAAGACGCCACGUGUCUCAAAGGGGACGACAUUGGACGAUGGCGAUGGAGGUGAUCUCAGUGUAACAAGUUAAAAACAGGUGUUCCGUUGCUUUCCGUCUGGGGAGUGUUACAUUCCGGUUGAAGAAGGUCAACAAUUCGGAAGUGGUACAGAAUUGAUACGGAUUUCGUUGAAUGCGUGUUGGGCGGCUCAAACGGAAGUGGUAACGAGUAAAAGGCUGGAUAGUGUAGUACUUACAUGUGUUCUUUCGUAUUCGGCCCUCCUGUGGAGAUAAGUGGGGAAAAUAGUGUUCGUUAUUCGAAGAACGCCCUCCAUGGCAGGAGACCGUCGAGCAGUGGAGAAACUAGCAACUAGAUUGCGUGCUCCACAAACGGCAG
RNAcentral lists this long non-coding RNA (2258 nucleotides) under Aedes aegypti (yellow fever mosquito). RNAcentral describes it as "lncRNA AAEL022551". The record is from RNAcentral. Lineage: Eukaryota; Metazoa; Arthropoda; Insecta; Diptera; Culicidae.